RNAcentral lists this ribosomal RNA (1410 nucleotides) under Escherichia coli. RNAcentral's name for it is "partial 23S ribosomal RNA". It matches the Rfam family "Bacterial large subunit ribosomal RNA", at positions 375 to 1784 of the family's 2925-position model. Lineage: Bacteria; Pseudomonadati; Pseudomonadota; Gammaproteobacteria; Enterobacterales; Enterobacteriaceae. The record is from RNAcentral.
GUACACAAAAAUGCACAUGCUGUGAGCUCGAUGAGUAGGGCGGGACACGUGGUAUCCUGUCUGAAUAUGGGGGGACCAUCCUCCAAGGCUAAAUACUCCUGACUGACCGAUAGUGAACCAGUACCGUGAGGGAAAGGCGAAAAGAACCCCGGCGAGGGGAGUGAAAAAGAACCUGAAACCGUGUACGUACAAGCAGUGGGAGCACGCUUAGGCGUGUGACUGCGUACCUUUUGUAUAAUGGGUCAGCGACUUAUAUUCUGUAGCAAGGUUAACCGAAUAGGGGAGCCGAAGGGAAACCGAGUCUUAACUGGGCGUUAAGUUGCAGGGUAUAGACCCGAAACCCGGUGAUCUAGCCAUGGGCAGGUUGAAGGUUGGGUAACACUAACUGGAGGACCGAACCGACUAAUGUUGAAAAAUUAGCGGAUGACUUGUGGCUGGGGGUGAAAGGCCAAUCAAACCGGGAGAUAGCUGGUUCUCCCCGAAAGCUAUUUAGGUAGCGCCUCGUGAAUUCAUCUCCGGGGGUAGAGCACUGUUUCGGCAAGGGGGUCAUCCCGACUUACCAACCCGAUGCAAACUGCGAAUACCGGAGAAUGUUAUCACGGGAGACACACGGCGGGUGCUAACGUCCGUCGUGAAGAGGGAAACAACCCAGACCGCCAGCUAAGGUCCCAAAGUCAUGGUUAAGUGGGAAACGAUGUGGGAAGGCCCAGACAGCCAGGAUGUUGGCUUAGAAGCAGCCAUCAUUUAAAGAAAGCGUAAUAGCUCACUGGUCGAGUCGGCCUGCGCGGAAGAUGUAACGGGGCUAAACCAUGCACCGAAGCUGCGGCAGCGACACUGUGUGUUGUUGGGUAGGGGAGCGUUCUGUAAGCCUGCGAAGGUGUGCUGUGAGGCAUGCUGGAGGUAUCAGAAGUGCGAAUGCUGACAUAAGUAACGAUAAAGCGGGUGAAAAGCCCGCUCGCCGGAAGACCAAGGGUUCCUGUCCAACGUUAAUCGGGGCAGGGUGAGUCGACCCCUAAGGCGAGGCCGAAAGGCGUAGUCGAUGGGAAACAGGUUAAUAUUCCUGUACUUGGUGUUACUGCGAAGGGGGGACGGAGAAGGCUAUGUUGGCCGGGCGACGGUUGUCCCGGUUUAAGCGUGUAGGCUGGUUUUCCAGGCAAAUCCGGAAAAUCAAGGCUGAGGCGUGAUGACGAGGCACUACGGUGCUGAAGCAACAAAUGCCCUGCUUCCAGGAAAAGCCUCUAAGCAUCAGGUAACAUCAAAUCGUACCCCAAACCGACACAGGUGGUCAGGUAGAGAAUACCAAGGCGCUUGAGAGAACUCGGGUGAAGGAACUAGGCAAAAUGGUGCCGUAACUUCGGGAGAAGGCACGCUGAUAUGUAGGUGAAGUCCCUCGCGGAUGGAGCUGAAAUC